AACCACUGACACAGUCCCUUGAUUAAUUCAAGUGCAAAGUCCAUUUUGAUUGGAUGAUCACAACCCAGAUCUUCUCUGGUUUAAAAAACACAGCAGUCCAUGUUUUAACGUCCUUUUCUUGGACAGAUAUAUCACAGCACUCAUGCAUUAGUCCACUUCCUCAACCUCUCAAUCAAGAGUGGAACUGCCAUCCUGGGUCUCAUUCGUAGACUCCUUUUGACAUUCUUCAUCUUACUGGAUUCAGUGCUUCAACCAAGAGCAGUUAUUUUGCUUACAGUAAAUCAUUUCCUCAACACAUCUGGUACACACAGCUCUGAAUUCUGAUCAAGGCUUUUCACUUGACCAGCCAUCUGAGUCCUCCGUAUCCAUUAAUAGCCUCUAAGAAUAUAAGUACCAACGAUUCUUCUGGAAGCCAUUCAGGAAAUAAGGUAUUGUUCAUGGAAUUCUACCGGCGACUGCAGCCCGCUGCCAGCCGACGAGGGCCCCGAGGACGGGACGCCGCUGCCCUCCUCGCCCUGCCGGCGCCCGGGGGACGGCUCCGCGCCCGCCCGCCGAGGGCGAGGUUCGGGCAGGGCUCGGCAGCCCGGCGCCAUUGCCCUUCGCCCGUCGCAGCCCUUCGGCAGCUCUCCUGGCCGCGCUCCGUCGCCCCCAGAGCCCCCUCAGCGCCGGGCCCAACGUGGCCGCCGAGCCCGGCACCCGGAGCGCCCGUCGGACCCCCCCGUUCCGAGCGGCGAGGAAAGCGCUCGGGAGCCGGGCGGCGGCAGCGGCUGCUUCCCCGGCCAUCUUGUGCCGUGUGUGUGAGGGAGUCUCUCCCGUCUCCUCUCAACUCCUUCCUCCC
This 838-nucleotide long non-coding RNA is filed under the name Gallus gallus (chicken). The record is from RNAcentral. Lineage: Eukaryota; Metazoa; Chordata; Aves; Galliformes; Phasianidae.